GGAGAUUUAGCUCAGUGGUAGAGCGCUUGCCUAGGAAGCGCAAGGCCCUGGGUUCGGUCCCCAGCUCCG
This is a non-coding RNA of Rattus norvegicus (Norway rat), 69 nucleotides long. Lineage: Eukaryota; Metazoa; Chordata; Mammalia; Rodentia; Muridae. The record is from Rfam.